UUGGAGGGCAAGUCUGGUGCCAGCAGCCGCGGUAAUUCCAGCUCCAAUAGCGUAUAUUAAAGUUGUUGCAGUUAAAAAGCUCGUAGUUGAAUCUCGGGAUCAAUUUGCUGGUCGUGCCUCUGGUACGUACUGGUAUUAUUGGUUUCUCCCUUCUGACGAACCAUGAUGUCAUUAAUUUGAUGUCGUGGAGAAUCAGGACUGUUACUUUGAAAAAAUUAGAGUGUUUAAAGCAGGCAUUAGCUUGAAUACAUUAGCAUGGAAUAAUGAAAUAGGACGUUUGAUCCUAUUUUGUUGGUUUCUAGGAUUGACGUAAUGAUUAAUAGGGAUAGUUGGGGGCAUUAGUAUUCAAUUGUCAGAGGUGAAAUUCUUGGAUUUAUUGAAGACUAACUACUGCGAAAGCAUUUGCCAAGGAUGUUUUCAUUAAUCAAGAACGAAAGUUAGGGGAUCGAAGACGAUCAGAUACCGUCGUAGUCUUAACCAUAAACUAUGCCGACUAGGGAUCGGAUGAUGUUAAUUUUUUAAUGACUCAUUCGGCGCCUUACGGGAAAC
RNAcentral lists this ribosomal RNA (549 nucleotides) under uncultured Glomeromycotina. Its description in RNAcentral is "SSU rRNA". It matches the Rfam family "Eukaryotic small subunit ribosomal RNA", at positions 548 to 1098 of the family's 1831-position model. The record is from RNAcentral. Lineage: Eukaryota; Fungi; Glomeromycota.